UACGAAGGGGGCUAGCGUUGCUCGGAAUCACUGGGCGUAAAGGGUGCGUAGGCGGGUCUUUAAGUCAGGGGUGAAAUCCUGGAGCUCAACUCCAGAACUGCCUUUGAUUCUGAAGAUCUUGAGUUCGGGAGAGGUGAGUGGAACUGCGAGUGUAGAGGUGAAAUUCGUAGAUAUUCGCAAGAACACCAGUGGCGAAGGCGGCUCACUGGCCCGAUACUGACGCUGAGGCACGAAAGCGUGGGGAGCAAACAGG
This 253-nucleotide ribosomal RNA is filed under the name uncultured bacterium. RNAcentral's name for it is "partial 16S ribosomal RNA". It matches the Rfam family "Bacterial small subunit ribosomal RNA", at positions 524 to 776 of the family's 1533-position model. The record is from RNAcentral.